Molecule: long non-coding RNA, 631 nt
Filed under: Fukomys damarensis (Damara mole-rat)
Lineage: Eukaryota; Metazoa; Chordata; Mammalia; Rodentia; Bathyergidae
Description: lncRNA (ENSFDAG00000023507.1)
Source: RNAcentral
CAUUAUUGUAAGUUUAUACAUUUAUGCAGAUAUGUGUAAUUGUUCUUCAAACUUAAAGUCAAUUUUUUGAAAAACCAAAAUACUCUGGCAUCAUAAACCUUUAUUUCACUUCUGUAUGUCUUUUCUGUGUUGAUGAUUCUUAAGAAAGUCAUGGAAAAUUUCUGAAGUAGAGGUUUUGAAGAGAUGGACAUAAAAAAGGAAGCAAUCAAUUUCAUUAGAACCUGUACUUCUGUUUAUCAUUCAACAGUUGCAUAAGUGGAAAAAUGCAGUGAAUGAGUUAUCUCGUGCUAUCCAUCUUCAGCCAGAUGGAAUUCAACUAUAUAUAAUAAGAGGACAAUAUCUUCUUAUGAUGAAAUGUUAUGAUCUUGCAAAGUUUACUAUUUAUCAAGUAGCAGAGAUAAACAAAGGUCUCAUUGGGUUGAGUCCCAUUCAACAAGCACACAUUUAUUCAUUUUGUGAAAACCAUGACAAGGCCAUUCAGGUCUUGGAUGGGAUAUCGUGGCAUAGGUCGGAGAUGACCAUGUUUACAUUAUUAGCAAAAGCCCAAAUGAAGGCCAAGAAAAUCAAGGUGAAUACAAUUUCUGAAUAACCUUUGUUAAACCUACUAAUGAAAUUCCUAUAUCGUACUUAG